Molecule: ribosomal RNA, 466 nt
Filed under: uncultured bacterium
Lineage: Bacteria
Description: partial 16S ribosomal RNA
Rfam family: Bacterial small subunit ribosomal RNA
Source: RNAcentral
GACGAACGCUGGCGGCGUGCUUAACACAUGCAAGUCGAACGGAAAGGCCCUGCUUUUGUGGGGUGCUCGAGUGGCGAACGGGUGAGUAACACGUGAGUAACCUGCCCUUGACUUUGGGAUAACUUCAGGAAACUGGGGCUAAUACCGGAUAGGAGCUCCUGCUGCAUGGUGGGGGUUGGAAAGUUUCGGCGGUUGGGGAUGGACUCGCGGCUUAUCAGCUUGUUGGUGGGGUAGUGGCUUACCAAGGCUUUGACGGGUAGCCGGCCUGAGAGGGUGACCGGCCACAAUGGGACUGAGAUACGGCCCAGACUCCUACGGGAGGCAGCAGUGGGGAAUAUUGCACAAUGGGCGGAAGCCUGAUGCAGCAACGCCGCGUGCGGGAUGACGGCCUUCGGGUUGUAAACCGCUUUCGCCUGUGACGAAGCGUGAGUGACGGUAAUGGGUAAAGAAGCACCGGCUAACUACG